AAGCCAUGCAUGUCUAAGUAUAAACGAUUUAAUCGUGAAACCGCGAAUGGCUCAUUAUAACAGCUAUAAUUUACUUGAUCUUGACACAAUCCUACUUGGAUAACUGUGGUAAUUCUAGAGCUAAUACAUGCAUUAAAGCUCUGACCUCACGGGAAGAGUGCAUUUAUUAGAACAAAACCAAGCGGCUUCGGCUGUUUCUGGUUGACUCAUAGUAACUGAGCUGAUCGCAUGGUCUUGCACCGGCGACGUGUCUUUCAAGUAUCUGCCGUAUCAACUUUCGAUGGUAGUGUAUCUGACUACCAUGGUGAUCACGCGUAACGGAGAAUAAGGGUUCGGCUCCGGAGAGUUCGCCUGAGAAAUCGCGAACACAUCUAAGGAAGGCAGCAGGCGCGAAAAUUACCCACUCUCAGCACGAGGAGGUAGUGACGAAAAAUAACGAGACCGUUCUCUUAUGAGGCCGGUCAUCGGAAUGGGUACAAUUUAAACCCUUUAACGAGUAUCU
RNAcentral lists this ribosomal RNA (502 nucleotides) under Acrobeloides sp. Sourhope farm. RNAcentral's name for it is "SSU rRNA". It matches the Rfam family "Eukaryotic small subunit ribosomal RNA", at positions 46 to 546 of the family's 1831-position model. Lineage: Eukaryota; Metazoa; Nematoda; Chromadorea; Rhabditida; Cephalobidae. The record is from RNAcentral.